GGUCAAGUAGCUCAGUUGGUUAGAGCACUGUCCCCGGAUGGCAGGGACCUGGGUUCAAUUCCCAGCUUGGUCA
This 73-nucleotide transfer RNA is filed under the name Collybiopsis luxurians FD-317 M1. RNAcentral's name for it is "tRNA-Pro (CGG) (tRNA-Pro-CGG-6-1, tRNA-Pro-CGG-6-2)". It matches the Rfam family "tRNA". From Rfam's summary of the family: Transfer RNA (tRNA) molecules are approximately 80 nucleotides in length. The record is from RNAcentral. Lineage: Eukaryota; Fungi; Basidiomycota; Agaricomycetes; Agaricales; Omphalotaceae.